CUCAGAUCUCAAAUGGCGGAGGUUGAACCAGGGGCCAGUUUAUUCCCAAAUGGUGUUCCUUGGCUCUAUGCCCUGUUUGCUAUGCUUUUUGUAUUUUUUCUCUUUGUCAUGUUCUCUCCCUUUUUACUUGAGAUAGACCAACAUAUAAAGAAAUUCUUGCUCAGAUGCAGGUAUUCUCUGCAUAAUGCUCUGCGUAAGAAUAAAGAAAAUGAGAUAAAGAUGGACCAUCUGGGAAGGCCAGGCUGUCCUUUGGAGUCACCAAGGAGAGAAGUUCUGGGAAGGAAGGAAGAUGGGAUGGGAAGAGAUCCCUCGCUACUUGUGAGGGUAGCAAGAGAGCCCAGGGGUUCUGAGGUUGAGAUCUGUACCCCUGGACCAUCCGUUUGAGAGUGGCUGAGGCUCUAAGGAAUCACCUGUGACAUCAUAUCCCAGACAUGAGAGGGCUUCUUAGACCCUCAUUAUGUAUGUUUAUAUGAAAAAAAAGAUAAUAAAUAUUUUGAGACUCUC
Molecule: long non-coding RNA, 504 nt
Organism: Enhydra lutris kenyoni (northern sea otter)
Lineage: Eukaryota; Metazoa; Chordata; Mammalia; Carnivora; Mustelidae
Exons: 3
Source: RefSeq, a predicted model, not a curated record